This 331-nucleotide ribosomal RNA is filed under the name uncultured bacterium. Its description in RNAcentral is "partial 16S ribosomal RNA". It matches the Rfam family "Bacterial small subunit ribosomal RNA", at positions 338 to 666 of the family's 1533-position model. The record is from RNAcentral.
CCUACGGGAGGCAGCAGUGAGGAAUAUUGGUCAAUGGGCUUACGCCUGAACCAGCCAAGUCGCGUGAGGGAAGACUGCCCUAUGGGUUGUAAACCUCUUUUGUCAGGGAGCAACGCCGGCUACGUGUAGCCUUACUGAUAGUACCUCAAUAAAAAGCAUCGGCUAACUCCGUGCCAGCAGCCGCGGUAAUACGGGGGAUGCGAGCGUUAUCCGGAUUUAUUGGUUUUAAGGGGUGCGUAGGCGGAAUGCCCAGUCAGCGGUAAAAGCGCGGGGUUCAACCACGAUCCGCCGUUGAAACUGGCGUUCUUGAGUGGGCGAGAAGUAAGCGGAA